This 164-nucleotide ribosomal RNA is filed under the name uncultured bacterium. RNAcentral's name for it is "partial 16S ribosomal RNA". It matches the Rfam family "Bacterial small subunit ribosomal RNA", at positions 355 to 511 of the family's 1533-position model. The record is from RNAcentral.
UAGGGAAUCUUCCACAAUGGGCGAAAGCCUGAUGGAGCAACGCCGCGUGUGUGAUGAAGGGUUUCGGCUCGUAAAACACUGUUGUAAGAGAAGAAUGACAUUGAGAGUAACUGUUCAAUGUGUGACGGCAUCUUACCAGAAAGGAACGGCUAAAUACGUGUCAG